RNAcentral lists this ribosomal RNA (496 nucleotides) under uncultured bacterium. RNAcentral's name for it is "partial 16S ribosomal RNA". It matches the Rfam family "Bacterial small subunit ribosomal RNA", at positions 29 to 507 of the family's 1533-position model. The record is from RNAcentral.
AUGAACGCUGGCGGCGUGCCUAAUACAUGCAAGUCGCGCGAACAGACGAGGAGCUUGCUCCUCUGACGUUAGCGGCGGACGGGUGAGUAACACGUGGAUAACCUACCUAUAAGACUGGGAUAACUUCGGGAAACCGGAGCUAAUACCGGAUAAUAUAUUGAACCGCAUGGUUCAAUAGUGAAAGACGGUUUUGCUGUCACUUAUAGAUGGAUCCGCGCCGCAUUAGCUAGUUGGUAAGGUAACGGCUUACCAAGGCAACGAUGCGUAGCCGACCUGAGAGGGUGAUCGGCCACACUGGAACUGAGACACGGUCCAGACUCCUACGGGAGGCAGCAGUAGGGAAUCUUCCGCAAUGGGCGAAAGCCUGACGGAGCAACGCCGCGUGAGUGAUGAAGGUCUUCGGAUCGUAAAACUCUGUUAAUAGGGAAGAACAAAUGUGUAAGUAACUAUGCACGUCUUGACGGUACCUAAUCAGAAAGCCACGGCUAACUACGUG